RNAcentral lists this ribosomal RNA (232 nucleotides) under Bacillus thuringiensis. RNAcentral's name for it is "partial 23S ribosomal RNA". Lineage: Bacteria; Bacillati; Bacillota; Bacilli; Caryophanales; Bacillaceae. The record is from RNAcentral.
GUUGGAGAAUUGAGGGGGGUUGUUUUUAGUAUGAGAGGAUUGGAGUGGAUGUAUUAUUGGUGUUUGGGUUGUUAUGUUAAUGGUAUUGUUUGGUAGUUAAAUGUGGAAGAGAUAAGUGUUGAAAGUAUUUAAGUAUGAAAUUUGUUUUGAGAUGAGUUUUUUUUGAGAUUUUAAGUUUUUUGAAGGAAUGUUGAAGAUGAUGAUGUUGAUAGGUUGGGUGUGUAAGUGUAGU